This 784-nucleotide ribosomal RNA is filed under the name Escherichia coli. RNAcentral's name for it is "partial 23S ribosomal RNA". It matches the Rfam family "Bacterial large subunit ribosomal RNA", at positions 2137 to 2915 of the family's 2925-position model. Lineage: Bacteria; Pseudomonadati; Pseudomonadota; Gammaproteobacteria; Enterobacterales; Enterobacteriaceae. The record is from RNAcentral.
UGUAGGAUAGGUGGGAGGCUUUGAAGUGUGGACGCCAGUCUGCAUGGAGCCGACCUUGAAAUACCACCCUUUAAUGUUUGAUGUUCUAACGUAGGCCCCUUAUCGGGGUUGCGGACAGUGUCUGGUGGGUAGUUUGACUGGGGCGGUCUCCUCCUAAAGAGUAACGGAGGAGCACGAAGGUUGGCUAAUCCUGGUCGGACAUCAGGAGGUUAGUGCAAUGGCAUAAGCCAGCUUGACUGCGAGCGUGACGGCGCGAGCAGGUGCGAAAGCAGGUCAUAGUGAUCCGGUGGUUCUGAAUGGAAGGGCCAUCGCUCAACGGAUAAAAGGUACUCCGGGGAUAACAGGCUGAUACCGCCCAAGAGUUCAUAUCGACGGCGGUGUUUGGCACCUCGAUGUCGGCUCAUCACAUCCUGGGGCUGAAGUAGGUCCCAAGGGUAUGGCUGUUCGCCAUUUAAAGUGGUACGCGAGCUGGGUUUAGAACGUCGUGAGACAGUUCGGUCCCUAUCUGCCGUGGGCGCUGGAGAACUGAGGGGGGCUGCUCCUAGUACGAGAGGACCGGAGUGGACGCAUCACUGGUGUUCGGGUUGUCAUGCCAAUGGCACUGCCCGGUAGCUAAAUGCGGAAGAGAUAAGUGCUGAAAGCAUCUAAGCACGAAACUUGCCCCGAGAUGAGUUCUCCCUGACCCUUUAAGGGUCCUGAAGGAACGUUGAAGACGACGACGUUGAUAGGCCGGGUGUGUAAGCGCAGCGAUGCGUUGAGCUAACCGGUACUAAUGAACCGUGAG